RNAcentral lists this ribosomal RNA (433 nucleotides) under uncultured rumen bacterium. RNAcentral describes it as "bacterial SSU rRNA". It matches the Rfam family "Bacterial small subunit ribosomal RNA", at positions 959 to 1392 of the family's 1533-position model. The record is from RNAcentral.
ACGCGAGGAACCUUACCCGGGCUUGAACUGCAGGAGAAGGAUACAGAGAUGUUGACGCCCUUCGGGGCUCCAGUGGAGGUGCUGCAUGGUUGUCGUCAGCUCGUGCCGUGAGGUGUCGGCUUAAGUGCCAUAACGAGCGCAACCCUUUUCUUCAGUUGCCAUCAGGUUAAGCUGGGCACUCUGGAGACACUGCCACCGUAAGGUGUGAGGAAGGUGGGGAUGACGUCAAAUCAGCACGGCCCUUACGUCCGGGGCUACACACGUGUUACAAUGGGUGGUACAGAGAGUCGGUCGUCUGCAAAUGCGAUCCAAUCCUUAAAGCCAUCCUCAGUUCGGAUUGGGGUCUGCAACCCGACCCCAUGAAGCUGGAUUCGCUAGUAAUCGCGCAUCAGCCAUGGCGCGGUGAAUACGUUCCCGGGUCUUGUACACACCG